This 292-nucleotide ribosomal RNA is filed under the name uncultured bacterium. Its description in RNAcentral is "partial 16S ribosomal RNA". It matches the Rfam family "Bacterial small subunit ribosomal RNA", at positions 505 to 796 of the family's 1533-position model. The record is from RNAcentral.
GUGUCAGCAGCCGCGGUAAUACAGAGGUCCCAAGCGUUGUUCGGAUUCACUGGGCGUAAAGGGUGCGUAGGUGGCAGUGUAAGUCUGAUGUGAAAGCUUCGAGCUUAACUCGAAAAUGGCAUUGGAUACUAUAUUGCUGGAGGUUUGGAGGGGGGACUGGAAUUCUCGGUGUAGCAGUGAAAUGCGUAGAUAUCGAGAGGAACACCGGUGGCGAAGGCGAGUCCCUGGACAACACCUGACACUGAGGCACGAAAGCUAGGGGAGCAAACAGGAUUAGAUACCCUAGUAGUCC